AUGCAUUCAAUUUAAAAAAUAAAAAAAAAAUUUAAAAAAAAAAAUUUAAUACCUUACCCUCCCCUUAAUCAUACCCGUCAUUUGCGAACUUCAUCAGAAACUUAACGUUUUAUCAUCAAAACUAAACUCGAAAACAGCUUCUGACCUUCUUCUUCUUUUACAAACACGGUUGCCUGAAAGAUUCUCUUCUUACGAAACGAGAACUACUGCACGCAUUGCCACUCUCAUUGACCCGAGGUUCAAAAGGAACGGAUUUUUGCCUCCUUUUAAUGCUAAACAAGCAGCAAUAGCUGUAGAAAAAGAAAUAUUCGCAAAUUUAAUUUCAAACACUUCACAGCAAAUUCCAACACCACCUUCAACACCACUGGAAUCAAAAACGAAAAUGUUUACAUAUCUAGAAAAUAAAGUGUCUCAACAAACAAACUCAUUUAAAGCAGAUAGCAUUAUUCUUCUAAGGCAGUACCUGAAAAAUCCAAAUGAGCCUGAGGAAAUUGAUCCUAUCUUGUUUUGAAAGGAAAAGACAGAUAUGAAAGCAAUACAAAGCAUUGCCAAAAAAUUUUUAUGCGUGCCAGCUUCCUCGGCAGAGUCCGAGCGUUCUAUUAGUAAAGCCGGCCAAAUAAUAUCGGAUCGUCGAUCCUCGUUGAAGUCGAAUAUAGUGGAUAUGUUAAUAUUUUUAAACAAAAAUCAAAUGUAAAAUGAUCUCUAAUUAAGUUUUUUUUUCUAAUUUUAAGUUUUCAUAAAUGAAUAUGUUAUCCAAUUUUAAGUUUUCAUAGAUAAAUAAGUUUUCUAAUUUUAAGUUUUCAUAAAUGAAUAUGUUUUCUAAUUUAAAGUUUUCAUAUAUGAAUAUGUUUUCUAAUUUUUAGUUUUCAUAAAUAAAAAUUAAGCAAAUAUAUUAUUAAAGAAAAGUACGAGCGAACUUAUUGGCAUAUUAAAUAGGUAUACUGCUUAUUCAAAAAAGUUGUAUAGAACAAUCGAUAGUAUCGAUGGUUUCAUAGAAAAACAAUCGAAAAAAUCGAUAGUGC
This is a long non-coding RNA of Drosophila bipectinata, 1022 nucleotides long. RefSeq lists it as uncharacterized. Lineage: Eukaryota; Metazoa; Arthropoda; Insecta; Diptera; Drosophilidae. The record is from RefSeq and is a predicted model, not a curated record.